Molecule: ribosomal RNA, 441 nt
Filed under: Triticum aestivum (bread wheat)
Lineage: Eukaryota; Viridiplantae; Streptophyta; Magnoliopsida; Poales; Poaceae
Description: partial small subunit ribosomal RNA
Source: RNAcentral
AUGGAAACUAAUCCUUUGAGGGGCUUGUUCGGGGUAUCUUUGCCCCGACCAGUAGAGAAAAGAGUUGCUCCUCAACCUACUGAACCUACUGAAAAUGUUUACUUUGAAAUUCCUUCGGGUAUGGUAGAGAAACUGCUAGUUAAUCCUUUCACAGGAGAUGGAACAUUGCAUCCCAACUUGCACCUAAUCUAUAUGGAUGAAGUUUGUGGAUUAUUUAAGCUUGCAGGUAUGCCCGAGGAUGUUAUCAAGAAGAAGGUCUUCCCUUUAUCUUUGAAGGGAGAGGCGUUGACAUGGUUUAGGCCAUGUGAGGAUAUGGGAUCAUGGAACUACAACCGAUUGAAAUUGGAAUUUCAUCAGAAGUUCUAUCCUAUGCAUCUUGUUCAUCGUGAUCGUAAUUACAUAUAUAAUUUUUGGCCUCACGAAGGAGAAAGCAUCUCUUAA